RNAcentral lists this long non-coding RNA (369 nucleotides) under Gallus gallus (chicken). The record is from RNAcentral. Lineage: Eukaryota; Metazoa; Chordata; Aves; Galliformes; Phasianidae.
GGCGUUUCCCGCCUUGCCGUCCUGGGCGGGUAGAACGCAGCCCUGGGAGGUCUUUUCGUCCCUCACGUCGAGGGCAGCGCCUCGCUUCCUUCCUGCCUUGCAUCCAGCAGUUGAGCGGCUGCCCAGAGCGUCUGAUUCCUGAUCCAUGACGCACUAACUGAACUCGUUAAGGAGAGCAGUGCAGGCAAGCCAUAGGUUUAGUGUGAUACAAAUGUCAGAUUGCUUUGUUUGCCUUCACUCCUGAUCUGGGACAAGUGAGGAAGAUGAGAAUUGCCUCCAAUCCCUAUCACCGAGGACCAAACCUCUCUUCAGUAGAAUGCAUGGGAGUCUCUCAUAAAGGUAUCACUCUAACAAAAGCAUCAUUUUCUA